RNAcentral lists this ribosomal RNA (750 nucleotides) under uncultured bacterium. RNAcentral describes it as "bacterial SSU rRNA". It matches the Rfam family "Bacterial small subunit ribosomal RNA", at positions 41 to 769 of the family's 1533-position model. The record is from RNAcentral.
GGGGGGGCUUACAUGCAGUCGAACGAGACCAUUGGGAUCGAGGAUUCGUCCAAGUGAAGGUGGGGAAAGUGGCGGACGGCUGAGUAACGCGUGAGCAAUUUGCCUUGGAGUGGGGAAUAACGGCUGGAAACAGCCGCUAAUACCGCAUGAUACAGCUGGGAGGCAUCUCCCUGGCUGUCAAAGAUUUAUCGCUCUGAGAUGAGCUCGCGUCUGAUUAACUAGUUGGCGGGGUAACGGCCCACCAAGGCGACGAUCAGUAGCCGGCCUGAGAGGGCGGACGGCCACAUUGGGACUGAGACACGGCCCAGACUCCUGCGGGAGGCAGCAGUAGGGAAUUUUCGUCAAUGGGCGCAAGCCUGAACGAGCGAUGCCGCGUGAGUGAAGAAGGCCUUCGGGUCGUAAAGCUCUGUUGCGGGGGAAAAAAGGCAGCAUCAGGAAAUGGGUGCUGACUGAUGGUGCCCCGCCAGAAAGUCACGGCUAACUACGUGCCAGCAGCCGCGGUAAUACGUAGGUGGCGAGCGUUAUCCGGAAUGAUUGGGCGUAAAGGGUGCGCAGGCGGUCCUGCAAGUCUGGAGUGAAACGCAUGAGCUCAACUCAUGCAUGGCUUUGGAAACUGGAGGACUGGAGAGCAGGAGAGGGCGGUGGAACUCCAUGUGUAGCGGUAAAAUGCGUAGAUAUAUGGAAGAACACCAGUGGCGAAGGCGGCCGCCUGGCCUGUUGCUGACGCUGAGGCACGAAAGCGUGGGGAGC